RNAcentral lists this ribosomal RNA (478 nucleotides) under uncultured bacterium. Its description in RNAcentral is "partial 16S ribosomal RNA". It matches the Rfam family "Bacterial small subunit ribosomal RNA", at positions 28 to 507 of the family's 1533-position model. The record is from RNAcentral.
GAUGAACGCUGGCGGCGUGCUUAACACAUGCAAGUCGAACGGGAAUUACUUUAUUGAAACUUCGGUCGAUUUAAUUUAAUUCUAGUGGCGGACGGGUGAGUAACGCGUGGGUAACCUGCCUUAUACAGGGGGAUAACAGUCAGAAAUGGCUGCUAAUACCGCAUAAGCGCACAGAGCUGCAUGGCUCGGUGUGAAAAACUCCGGUGGUAUAAGAUGGACCCGCGUUGGAUUAGCUUGUUGGUGGGGUAACGGCCCACCAAGGCGACGAUCCAUAGCCGGCCUGAGAGGGUGAACGGCCACAUUGGGACUGAGACACGGCCCAGACUCCUACGGGAGGCAGCAGUGGGGAAUAUUGCACAAUGGGGGAAACCCUGAUGCAGCGACGCCGCGUGAAGGAAGAAGUAUCUCGGUAUGUAAACUUCUAUCAGCAGGGAAGAUAGUGACGGUACCUGACGAAGAAGCCCCGGCUAACUACGUG